CGUUCUGGUGGCUGUGCGUGGGGCAUCUUCGGAUGCACUGGAUGCUUGCGUUUCCGGUCUGUCAACCCGCGUACAGCUGCCACCCAA
RNAcentral lists this non-coding RNA (87 nucleotides) under Pseudomonas arsenicoxydans. The record is from RNAcentral. Lineage: Bacteria; Pseudomonadati; Pseudomonadota; Gammaproteobacteria; Pseudomonadales; Pseudomonadaceae.